UAUCGGGGUUCGAUUAAGCCAUGCGAGUCGAGAGGGUUCGGCCCUCGGCGUACUGCUCAGUAACACGUGGAUAACCUGCCCUAAGGAAGGGGAUAACCCCGGGAAACUGGGAAUAAUACCCUAUAGGUUACAGAUGCUGGAAUGCUCUGUAACUCAAAGUUCAGGCGCCUUAGGAUGGAUCUGCGGCCGAUUAGGUUGUUGUUGGGGUAACGGCCCAACAAGCCAGUAAUCGGUACGGGUUGUGGGAGCAAGAGCCCGGAGUUGGAUUCUGAGACACGAAUCCAGGCCCUACGGGGCGCAGCAGGCGCGAAAACUUUACAAUGCGGGCAACCGUGAUAAGGGAACCUCGAGUGCCUGUAUAUGCAGGCUGUCCAGGUGUCUAAAACACACCUGAAGAAAGGGCCGGGCAAGACCGGUGCCAGCCGCCGCGGUAAUACCGGCGGCUCGAGUGGUGGCCACUUUUAUUGGGCUUAAAGCGUUCGUAGCUGGGUUGUUAAGUCUCUUGGGAAAUCCGGCGGCUCAACCGUCGGGCGUCUAAGAGAUACUGGCAGUCUUGGAACCGGGAGAGGUGAGGGGUACUUCGGGGGUAGGAGUGAAAUCCUGUAAUCCUCGAGGGACCACCUGUGGCGAAGGCGCCUCACCAGAACGGCUUCGACAGUGAGGGACGAAAGCUGGGGGAGCAAACCGGAUUAGAUACCCGGGUAGUCCCAGCCGUAAACGAUGUGCGUUAGGUGUAUCGACGACCACGAGUCGUCGAGGUGCCGAAGGGAAACCGUGAAACGUACCGCCUGGGAAGUACGGUCGCAAGGCUGAAACUUAAAGGAAUUGGCGGGGGAGCACCACAACAGGUGGAGCCUGCGGUUUAAUUGGACUCAACGCCGGGAAUCUCACCGGAUAAGACAGCGGAAUGAUUGCCGGGCUGAAGACUCUGCAUGACUAGCUGAGAGGAGGUGCAUGGCCGUCGUCAGUUCGUACUGUGAAGCAUCCUGUUAAGUCAG
This 998-nucleotide ribosomal RNA is filed under the name uncultured euryarchaeote. RNAcentral's name for it is "bacterial SSU rRNA". It matches the Rfam family "Archaeal small subunit ribosomal RNA", at positions 31 to 1037 of the family's 1478-position model. Lineage: Archaea; Methanobacteriati; Methanobacteriota. The record is from RNAcentral.